RNA transcript from Solanum tuberosum (potato), 3814 nucleotides. It is a transcript of the gene named calcium-transporting ATPase 3, endoplasmic reticulum-type, with no coding region annotated. The record is from RefSeq and is a predicted model, not a curated record. Lineage: Eukaryota; Viridiplantae; Streptophyta; Magnoliopsida; Solanales; Solanaceae. The transcript has 33 exons.
UUACCUCAUUUUUCCCUGCGAAGAAAGCAGUAACUUUUAUCAGAUCUCGCUUUACUAGAGUUGCCGAAGAUCAUCCCAGCAGGCACCAGUUGCACAAGAUCAUCAACUGAGAGUCAAAAGACACUGUUCAAUUUCAGAAGAAACUGACCUGACCUGACCUGACCUCCUUCAAUGGAGGACGCUUACGCCCGAUCUGUUUCAGAGGUUCUUGAAUUCUUUGCCGUGGAUCCAACUAAAGGUCUUACGGAUUUACAGGUUACACAACAUGCACACUCAUAUGGCAAAAAUGUGUUGCCUCAAGAAAAAAGCACUCCUUUCUGGAAGUUGGUGCUGAAGCAAUUUAACGAUUUGCUUGUUAAGAUUCUAAUUGCAGCUGCUUUUAUUUCCUUUUUUUUGGCACUUGCUAAUGGAGAAACGGUAUUAUCAGCCUUCAUUGAACCUUCGGUUAUCUUGAUGAUAUUGGCUGCAAAUGCAGCGGUCGGGGUGAUCACAGAAACAAAUGCUGAAAAGGCUCUUGAGGAGCUACGUGCAUACCAAGCUGACGUUGCUACUGUCCUGCGCAAUGGUUGUUUCUCGAUAUUACCUGCAGCAGACCUUGUCCCUGGAGAUAUUGUAGAAGUGAGUGUUGGGUGUAAAAUUCCAGCUGAUAUGAGAAUGAUCGAGAUAUUGAGCGAUCACUUACGUGUUGAUCAGGCAAUUUUAACAGGUGAGAGCUGCUCUGUGGAAAAAGAGCUUGAUGCAACGACUGCUACAAAUGCAGUAUACCAGGAUAAGACAAGCAUCCUCUUUUCUGGCACUACAGUAGUCGCUGGAAGGGCAAGAGCUGUUGUUAUUGGGGUUGGAUCUAAUACUGCAAUGGGCAGUAUACGUGAUUCUAUGUUAAUGACUGAAGAUGAGGUGACGCCAUUGAAGAAAAAGUUGGAUGAAUUUGGCACUUUUUUGGCAAAGAUCAUUGCAGGAAUAUGUGUGCUAGUUUGGGUGGUAAACAUUGGGCAUUUUAGUGAUCCUGCCCAUGGUGGCUUCUUGCGAGGUGCAAUACAUUACUUUAAGAUUGCAGUUGCACUGGCUGUUGCAGCAAUCCCUGAAGGGCUUCCUGCUGUUGUUACAACGUGUUUGGCCCUUGGGACAAAGCGAAUGGCUCGUUUAAAUGCUAUUGUGAGAUUCUUGCCGUCCGUAGAAACCUUGGGCUGCACGACAGUAAUCUGCAGUGACAAGACUGGCACUCUCACAACAAAUAUGAUGUCUGUGUCAAAGAUUUGUGUGCUUCAUUCAUUAAAUAAUGGUCCAAUGAACUCUGAAUACGUUGUUAGUGGAACAACUUACGCACCAGAAGGUUUUAUAUUUGACAGCUUGGGAGCCCAGCUAGAGAUUCCUGCUCAGUAUCCUUGUCUACUUCAUAUAGCAAUGUGCUCAGCUCUAUGCAAUGAGUCUGUUAUACAAUACAACCCAGAUAAGAGAAUUUAUGAGAAGAUUGGUGAAUCAACUGAAGUUGCCCUCCGUUUGCUGGCAGAAAAAAUUGGUCUUCCUGGUUUUGAUACAAUGCCCUCUGCUUUAAAUAUGCUAAGCAAGCAUGAACGGGCCUCUUACUGUAAUCGGUAUUGGGAAAGCCAAUUUAAAAAGGUUUCUUUAUUGGAAUUUUCACGUGAUCGCAAAAUGAUGAGUGUGCUUUGUAACCGGAAGCAGAUGGAGAUAAUGUUCUCAAAAGGAGCUCCAGAAAGCAUACUUUCAAGAUGUACCAAUAUACUGUGUAAUGAUGAUGGUUCUACGGUCCCUCUUUCUGCACAUAUUAGAGCUCAGUUGGAAGCAAAGUAUAAUAGUUUUGCAGGAAAAGAAACUCUUAGAUGCUUAGCUCUAGCCUUGAAAAGAAUGCCUAUGGGUCAACAAUCGCUCUCCUUUGAUGAUGAAAAUGACCUUACGUUUAUUGGGUUGGUUGGGAUGCUUGAUCCACCAAGGGAUGAAGUAAGAAAUGCCAUCCUUUCAUGUAUGAAUGCGGGCAUACGUGUAAUCGUUGUUACUGGGGAUAACAAGACAACUGCAGAAUCCUUGUGCCAAAAAAUUGGUGCCUUUGAUCACUUGGGAGAUUUUACUGGGUUUUCUUAUACUGCCUCUGAGUUUGAAGAACUCCCGGCAUUGCAGAAAUCAGUGGCAUUACAACGAAUGACAAUUUUAUCCAGGGUCGAACCAUCCCACAAAAGGAUGCUGGUUGAAGCAUUACAGAAUCAAAAUGAAGUGGUUGCAAUGACUGGAGAUGGAGUAAAUGAUGCACCUGCACUGAAGAAAGCAAACAUUGGAAUUGCCAUGGGAUCUGGAACUGCAGUUGCAAAGAGUGCUUCAGAUAUGGUUUUAGCAGAUGACAACUUCGCCACCGUUGUUGCAGCAGUUGCUGAGGGAAGGGCUAUAUAUAACAAUACGAAGCAAUUUAUUAGAUACAUGAUAUCUUCAAACAUUGGUGAAGUGGUCUGUAUAUUUGUGGCUGCUAUGCUUGGGAUUCCUGAUACUCUUGUGCCUGUCCAACUGCUAUGGGUAAAUUUGGUCACUGAUGGAUUGCCUGCCACAGCUAUUGGGUUUAAUAAACAAGACUCAGAUGUUAUGAAGUCCAAACCUCGGAAGGUCAAUGAAGCAGUGGUUAGUGGGUGGCUGUUUUUCCGUUAUCUAGUUAUUGGAGCAUAUGUUGGACUUGCCACUGUUGCAGGUUUUAUAUGGUGGUUUGUUUAUUAUGAUAAUGGACCGAAACUCCCAUAUACUGAAUUGAUGCAUUUUGACAGUUGUUCAACAAGGGAAACAAAUUAUGCUUGCAGUAUAUUCAGUGAUCGCCACCCAUCUACUGUUUCAAUGACGGUGCUUGUUGUUGUUGAGAUGUUCAAUGCAUUGAAUAAUCUCAGUGAAAAUCAAUCUUUACUUGUCAUCCCUCCAUGGAGUAAUCUAUGGCUUGUUGGUUCGAUUAUCUUCACCAUGAUCCUUCACAUUCUCAUUCUUUAUGUGCAACCAUUAUCCGCUCUAUUCUCUGUGACACCGUUAAGCUGGGCAGAGUGGACAGUUGUGCUAUACCUUUCAUUUCCUGUAAGAGAUUUGACCAUCAAAGUCCUUAACUGUGGACUCCCUUUCAUAUUUAUGUUUGUGAACUGCAAAAAUCGUUUUUUCUGUAUCCUACUGGAGAAUUCGUUUAUCAUAAUUUUUGGAAGAAAGCGUGAUUUGUAUAACUGGAGAUAUGCUGUAGUUCAAAUGAGGAUAAGUAUUGUUAAGAUUGGUGCCACAUGUAGCAAAUGUGUCGUUCUUGGAUUCAAAAAGGUGUGACCUUUCGCUGAUCUCUAUAGCUCGCGUCCAUCAUAAAUGCAGCUAGAGUAUGGGCCCACUUGCUGCCUAGAUAGAGUGUCUCUGUUUAGUUCCAGGUAUUAUAGUCAUAGAUACAGUAUAAGUCAGGCAUCAGAAAGAAUAUGCUGGAGAUAUAUUAUCUCGGUUGCUGAUUCUCUGUAACUAUAUCCUUAAAAACUGUGCAUUAUGGCCAAGUUCCUCGAGCUUAAAAAAUGGAAGGGGGGCAAAAGGAAUUGCUCAUUAUCAAUUUCUAUGCCUGUGUUCAUGUUGACAUUUUGUUUGACCUUUCCCCUUCAUGUUUGCCAGUAGCUUUUGUUCUUGUGUUCUACUUCAUAAAUAUUCUUGCCAUUUAUCAUGAAGUGGAUUUCCCCCUUCCAUGACUACUGCUACUUUUUCUUGUUAGGUGAUAUUAAUUGAUGAAAUACUGAAGUUCGUCUCUCGAAAUUCAGGAAUAAGAUUCAGUUUCAGAUUCAGACGUGCUGAUUUACUUCCAAAAAGAGAG